UACGUAGGGUGCAAGCGUUACUCGGAAUUACUGGGCGUAAAGCGUGCGCAGGCGGCUUUGCAAGACAGAUGUGAAAUCCCCGGGCUUAACCUGGGAACUGCAUUUGUGACUGCAUGGCUGGAGUGCGGCAGAGGGGGAUGGAAUUCCGCGUGUAGCAGUGAAAUGCGUAGAUACGCGGAGGAACACCGAUGGCGAAGGCAAUCCCCUGGGCCUGCACUGACGCUCAUGCACGAAAGCGUGGGGAGCAAACAGG
Molecule: ribosomal RNA, 253 nt
Filed under: uncultured bacterium
Lineage: Bacteria
Description: partial 16S ribosomal RNA
Rfam family: Bacterial small subunit ribosomal RNA
Source: RNAcentral